Molecule: non-coding RNA, 28 nt
Filed under: Rattus norvegicus (Norway rat)
Lineage: Eukaryota; Metazoa; Chordata; Mammalia; Rodentia; Muridae
Source: RNAcentral
UGUCAUAGCCACAAUGUCCCUUGAUAUA